This 48-nucleotide ribosomal RNA is filed under the name Chenopodium opulifolium. The record is from RNAcentral. Lineage: Eukaryota; Viridiplantae; Streptophyta; Magnoliopsida; Caryophyllales; Amaranthaceae.
GCGAUCAUACCAGCACUAAUGCCCCGGAUCCCAUCAGAACUCCGCAGU